Molecule: long non-coding RNA, 477 nt
Organism: Danio aesculapii
Lineage: Eukaryota; Metazoa; Chordata; Actinopteri; Cypriniformes; Danionidae
Exons: 3
Source: RefSeq, a predicted model, not a curated record
UGAGGGGGAGAGGUAGUGAAUCGGCUACGUCAGUGGCACCAACAAUAAUUUAGUGGCUGCAUUUUAUUUAUUUAUUUAUUUAUUGAAAUAUUGGCAAUUUACAUAAGUACAUUUAAAUUAAUAAUGUCAACAGCAAAAUCACAGAGGUGGCGAGAGUUUUUGGGCGCCCCGGAGUCACAGGCCACAGCCAGUCUAUGGCCACAGCACGUGUGGUGACUGCGUAUGGAAUGACAGCUCCUGAGACGACAAUUUUUCCAACACAAGUUUGGUUUUUGAUGGGUGAAGUACAACAUAUUAAAUGUCAUUUUCGAUGUUCUGGUAGACUUACAAAGAACGAGGAACAACGACGCAACGUUUUCAGUCACCUAUACACAAGUGAUGUAUAUGUGCUGCCGAAGCAAGCACGAACUGAGAGCUAGGAGAAAAGCUAUAUAUCCCAUGGAAUAAUGGGUAUGUAUCUUAGAGGUGGUAAGUUGA